Molecule: ribosomal RNA, 384 nt
Filed under: marine copepod environmental sample
Lineage: Eukaryota; Metazoa; Arthropoda; Copepoda
Description: SSU rRNA
Rfam family: Eukaryotic small subunit ribosomal RNA
Source: RNAcentral
AGCUCCAAUAGCGUAUAUUAAAGUUGCUGCAGUUAAAAAGCUCGUAGUUGGAUCUCGGCAGCCAGGGGGCGGUUCGCUCCAAAGCGUGACUGCCCCAUUUGGCUGUGUGAUUGGCGGAGGUUCCGGGGUGCUCUUCGUUGAGUGUCCCGGUGCGCCGUCAGGUUUACUUUGAAAAAAUUAGAGUGCUCAAAGCAGGCUUUUCAGGCUGAAUAUUCGUGCAUGGAAUAAUGGAAUAGGAACUCGUUCCUAUUUUGUUGGUUUUCGGGACUCGACAUAAUGAUAAAUAGGGACAGUCGGGGGCAUUUGUAUUCAAACGACAGAGGUGAAAUUCUUGGACCGUUUGAAGACAAACUACUGCGAAAGCAUUUGCCAAGAAUGUUUUCA